GGUGCUGUGGUAUAGGGGUCAACACGCCGGCCUGUCACGCCGGAGAUCGCGGGUUCAAGUCCCGUCAGCACCG
RNAcentral lists this transfer RNA (73 nucleotides) under Brockia lithotrophica. It matches the Rfam family "tRNA". From Rfam's summary of the family: Transfer RNA (tRNA) molecules are approximately 80 nucleotides in length. Their secondary structure includes four short double-helical elements and three loops (D, anti-codon, and T loops). Further hydrogen bonds mediate the characteristic L-shaped molecular structure. tRNAs have two regions of fundamental functional importance: the anti-codon, which is responsible for specific mRNA codon recognition, and the 3' end, to which the tRNAs corresponding amino acid is attached (by aminoacyl-tRNA synthetases). tRNAs cope with the degeneracy of the genetic code in two manners: having more than one tRNA (with a specific anti-codon) for a particular amino acid; and 'wobble' base-pairing, i.e. permitting non-standard base-pairing at the 3rd anti-codon position. Lineage: Bacteria; Bacillati; Bacillota; Bacilli; Thermicanales; Thermicanaceae. The record is from Rfam by way of RNAcentral.